AGCAACCUUCUCGAUAUCGACCCCACCUUGAUGACUUCCAACCAAAACUGGUCCCUAAGUAGUCGAAAUGUGCGACUUGAGUGGAAGAUUGAAAUUGAUUAUUUUGUUUUUACACAAUGGCAACCAUUUAUCAAACAAGACUCCAGAAAAGACGAACACUUGACGGUAUAAGUGGUGUGAAACCAAUCCCCAGCAUCAACCUUAUCUGAAGUGAUGUUAUGGCUUAAACCGUGCGACAUGGGAUUUGGAGAGAUAAAUGGAUUUCAAGAAGGUGCUGUGCCUUAGCAUUGGUUAUCGUUCUCCGGAUAUAGACAUCUAUACAAUGUAUAUGACAUUAAAAGACAGUAGCUAUAAAUUCUUCGUCACUUUGAUGCUUGUGUUUCAUCAAGAUUUUUAUAUUUUCACGCUGUGAGUGGAAGUUUUCAAGCAUGGCAGAAUACACUUUGAAUCUUCUUGCAAAUCUCUUGUGGUGAUUGCUUCCUCUUCACUUUCGAAAUCAGGUUUCUAGUCCUAAAGGAAAGACGCUGGUCGCUAUUUUUACACAUCUUCAACAACAUCAUGAACAAUUCCCACCAAUGUAUACCACGUGAGACAAUAAACUUCCAAACUGUAUAUGUGAUACAGCGAUAUUUCUUUUGAAUAUAUCUUCAGUAGAUUCGGUGUUAUUAAUGGAUUGUUUUUGUAUUGGAACCUCGUUCUCGUUAGAGCUUUUAUUGUCGUCGAAAUGCUUGGAAUCAUUCGUGUUUCCUUUGGUCUACGAGCCCUCAUCCAAAACUCUCGAGCGUACGCUAGGUGCUUCAUCUACGUUCAAUUUCAUCACGUCAUCUUCAAUCUGGCGUCGUUUUUUCUCCUCUGUCAUGCUAGAUUUUGUUUAACUGUUGGAAGUCUCAUUUUAAAUUAUUUUUUCUUCGUCAAUCCACGAAUAUAAUAUCUCUCAUAAUAAUUGGGUAAUUGUGAAGAAAAAUGGGCUAAGCUUCUUGUGCAAAAUAAUUGAAUUCUGAUAUUUUAAAGAUACGAUAAGAAUCUGCAGGCUGUUCAGUGAGGCAGCUGCUUGCAAGUUGGUCAUCCAUUUUAAAUUUUAACCAUUUCUUUAGAAUGUUUUACCGUAAGUGAAUACUAAAAUACACUGAUGCUCUCUUGUAUACA
Xenia sp. Carnegie-2017 is the source of this 1146-nucleotide long non-coding RNA. RefSeq lists it as uncharacterized. The transcript has 2 exons. The record is from RefSeq and is a predicted model, not a curated record. NCBI's taxonomy places the organism in Eukaryota, Metazoa, Cnidaria, Anthozoa, Malacalcyonacea, Xeniidae.